GUGUGAUUCGGCAGCACAUAUACUAAAACUGGAACAAUACAGAGAAGAUUGAUAGCACGGGCCCUGCACAAGGAUGACACGCAAAUUUGUGAAGCGUCGCAUAUUUUU
Molecule: small nuclear RNA, 108 nt
Organism: Puma concolor (puma)
Lineage: Eukaryota; Metazoa; Chordata; Mammalia; Carnivora; Felidae
Source: RefSeq, a predicted model, not a curated record